Long non-coding RNA from Ctenopharyngodon idella (grass carp), 1237 nucleotides. RefSeq lists it as uncharacterized. Lineage: Eukaryota; Metazoa; Chordata; Actinopteri; Cypriniformes; Xenocyprididae. The transcript is spliced from 4 exons. The record is from RefSeq and is a predicted model, not a curated record.
UAUGGUAAUGAGCUAUGACGCGGUUCAGCGGCAACCAAUCGGAAUGUAGAGGUCCUCGCUUGAGAGGAUUCCGAUUGGUUGCCACAACUUGUCAUUUACUUUGACCCUCCCGCCGGCGGCGGUUUGAACGCACAGUACAGCGUUGUUGGCAGGGCAGCCAAGGCGAAUUUUGACGCUCUCGCCGGCGGUGGUGUGAACUCACAGUAGUAGCAGUACAUUCAGGUCGCGCCGGCGCCGCUGUCAGCGUGAGCAGACGAGAGAGCGCGAGUCAGACGAAGCAGCUUUGCGGAGCAUCAAAGCAACUUAAUUGUUUGAUUAAGACAUUAAAUUCAUGACAUGUUUGAUGACCGUCAUUGUGGCAUCAUUGAACAUCAGUGUGACAAUAUCCAAGUGAUAGAUUGUGAAUGUGGCAGACACACCCCUCCACACACAAAAAGCUGAUGAUCUGACGGUAGCUGCAUGGAUCUUGGACUGCCUGGUGGACAUCUCGGCAUGGAUACAAGAACAUCACCUGCAACUCAAUCUGGCAAAGACAAAACGUUUCGUCUUCCCAGCCACUCUGAUGAUUCAGCAUAAUUUCACCAUCCAGCUAGGCUCAUCAACUGUAAUUCCAUCCUGAUCCGCCAAAAAUCUUGUAAUUUUUGAUGACCAGCUGUCGUUCAGAGACCACAUUACAAAGACAGCUUGGUCAUUUAAGUUUACUCUGCACUAUACCAGGAAGAUCAGGCCCUUCUUAACAGAGCAUCUGACACAACUUAUCCAGGCCCUUGUCAUUUCUGGACUAGACUAUUGCAACGCUCUUCGAACAUGCAAUCUCUCUAACCCUAACUGGACAGCUGAAUCCCUGACAAUGUUAAAGAAACAACUGAAAACUCAUGUCUUCCAUGAACAAUUAAUGGCAUCCCGCUGACUCUUAAAGAAAGCAAACAAACAAACAAAAAAACGAUGCUUUCACUAUUAAAUCCCUCUCCGAUCUAGUUUGUACUAUUCUGAACAAUGUUUGAAUCUUUGUAUUUUUUCGCACUUCUUGUUUAUUGCCUCCUUAAGAUGAAUUGUUUGUAUUCCUUAUUUCUAAGUUGCUAUGUAUAAAAACGUUGGCUAAUUGGUUUAUUUUUCAUAUUAACCACUUUGACAGCUAGUGCAUAUUUUGCAUUGUUUUUAAUAUUGUGCUUGUUUUACAGUUAAUAACUGUUUUAUACCUGUUUUUAUGACUUUUAAAUAAAUACAUCUCAACCAA